RNAcentral lists this ribosomal RNA (458 nucleotides) under Diasporus hylaeformis (Pico Blanco robber frog). Its description in RNAcentral is "partial 16S ribosomal RNA". It matches the Rfam family "Bacterial large subunit ribosomal RNA", at positions 1836 to 2559 of the family's 2925-position model. The record is from RNAcentral. Lineage: Eukaryota; Metazoa; Chordata; Amphibia; Anura; Eleutherodactylidae.
CGCCUCCUGAUAGUAGGUACAGCCUGCCCAGUGACAUUUAACGGCCGCGGUAUCCUAACCGUGCGAAGGUAGCGUAAUCACCUGUUUUUUAAUUAAAGACCCGUAUGAAAGGCACCACGAGAAUCAAACUGUCUCCUAUUUCUAAUCAGUGAAACUAAUCUUCCUGUGAAAAAGCAGGAAUCAUUAUACAAGACGAGAAGACCCUUUGGAGCUUCAGACAACAUGAUGACCUGAACUCAUCAAUAGUCUUCGGUUGGGGCAACCACGGAGAAAAAAAUAACCUCCGAGAUGAAAACAAAAGCCACAACUUUAAGUAUCAAAAUGACAUCAAUUGACCCAAUAUUUUGACCAACGAACCAAGUUACCCAAGGGAUAACAGCGCAAUCCGCUUUAAGAGUCCAUAUCGACAAGCGGGCUUACGACCUCGAUGUUGGAUCAAGAUAUCCCAGUGGUGCAGC